CCCUGAUGACGUGAGAGAAGAGGACGGGUCUCCCACCACUCCUACACAGACAGACCUGGACGAAAAAAGAGAAAAAAAUUAGUGUCUGCUCCUGAAAAUGGGCCUCUCCAUUUGCUGCAGAGCCGCUUUCAACUUUGACCCCAGCCAAGGAGGGCAUCUAACAAUGAUGCUGGGGAACAUGUGGAUGAUUCCAACUCAAAAAAGGCUAUGGGACAACCUAAUGAGGAAAAUGUUGAGAAAUCAUCAGGCUCAGGGGAAGGAAAUUAAUUGAAUGUCAUAAAUGAGAAAAAAUGGUAAACUAUCAUUCCUGAACAGAAAACUGCAGAUACAUGAGCACAAAAAGACAGGACAAAAAGAAAUAGAAGACAAUCAGCAAGAAAAGGAUGAACAAGUUUCUGAUCAUAUCAGGUGGUAGAGGUGAUGAAAGCAAAGACUUCUGCCUCGGGACAAGGUAAUAGUAACUGUAACCCUGUAGCAACAGAGCCCGAUCAUCAAAAAAAGGCAAAACUAAUGAACGCCUUUCUAAAGUUUCUGAUGCAGCAUGUGCAGUCCUAGUAGCAUUGUGUCAUUUACAUACAAUUUUCUCAAAGAACUGUCUUUUCACAAAUUUUAGCCUUUCUCUCUCGGUUCAGUUGAACUUUCAGACAGACUGAACUUGCAAUGCUAUAUUCACCCCGCAUACAUGUUAAAAGAGCAAAACAUUAUUUUACUCAUUCAAGUGAGUGCUUCCAUUUGCUUAUAAGAGAUCCCUUUACGGUGAUUGAGUGUGUACCCAUGAUUCAAAUCAUUCAUCCACAGGGUACACUCACAUGUAAUCCAGGCAUAAAACACACGGGUGAGGCAGAUAAAGGUGAAACUACAAAGGAUAAUAGUAAAGUCCACCGUGAGGCCUAGAAGAAGAAAAAACAGGGCGGAAAAGCCUUAGUGGAGAUAAAGGCUUUCAAAAGAAAAGUGAACCUGUUGAUUGCAAUCCAGAAGGAAACAGAUCUCAAAAGUGUAAUUGUAAGAUUUUUAUAAAGAUCCAGUAUACAGUUGAAAAGAGUGUAGAUGUCCCUCAGUCUGAGCCAGAACAAAGGCAAACAAUUAUUUGCUCAGAGAGGCCAGAAAAACAGACAGAUUAACGGUAGGAGACACUGAAAACAAAAGCAGACAAUUAUAUCAGAGACUUAAGACCAGAGGUCACCAUUCAUUUUAUUUUUUCAAAGUAGAUAAGAUAUCAAAGACCUCCUAUGAAUCAGAAAAUACUAUUAUGCUAACAAAACAGCUUCUAAAAAUACCACAGAGUUAGUCAUCUUACAGACCACUGCAGAGGGCUGGUCUGAAAUUAUGCAACAGAAAUAACAUGGAAUAAUGUAUUCUUGUGUAUCUUGGCACUUCUAGUUAGUGAAUGUGUUUGUUUGACAACUACAUGUAAAUAUAUUCUUUUUUAAAUGAUGAUAAAAAUGAUGAUGAUGAUGAUACAGUAUGUUCUAAAGUAUUGUAAAAGCUCCAGUUUUAUGUGUAUGUGUUAGGGGGAAAUUUCAUUCAAACAAAAAGAUGCACUAUCACACUCUUAUACAGUACAGUUUUACUGUGACAAGAUUAAAUAAAAUUAUAAAAGAAAAAUGAUAUUUGUUUAUGCAUAUCUGUAAGAAAACGAAGUCAUAAUGUCGAUUUGUCUGCAUCAUAUCUACGAUCAAAAGGUUCUUUAGAGUAUUUUUAUGCAAAACACUUUUGCAAUAACAACUGAAAUUUCUAUUAACUUAUGAUAUAAUUGCUAUCUUUCAUUAAUUAAUUGAAAAUUAAGUUAGAAUGGUGCUGUAGCACUUUGGUUUUCUUGUUCUGCUCUUUUUGUAUUAACUUUGUUCCGUUUCUUUCAGUUUUUCACAAAAGGUGACUGAAUCUGACUUUGUUGUACAUAUAUGUGCUAUACAGGCCUAUUGACAUAACCUGAGUGAAGUAAACUUUUAAAAAAAA
Oreochromis aureus is the source of this 1956-nucleotide long non-coding RNA. The record is from Ensembl. Lineage: Eukaryota; Metazoa; Chordata; Actinopteri; Cichliformes; Cichlidae.